Molecule: ribosomal RNA, 482 nt
Filed under: uncultured bacterium
Lineage: Bacteria
Description: partial 16S ribosomal RNA
Rfam family: Bacterial small subunit ribosomal RNA
Source: RNAcentral
AUUGAACGCUGGCGGCAUGCCUUACACAUGCAAGUCGAACGGUAACGGGCCUUCGGGUGCCGACGAGUGGCGAACGGGUGAGUAAUACAUCGGAACGUGCCCGAUCGUGGGGGAUAACGAGGCGAAAGCUUUGCUAAUACCGCAUACGAUCUACGGAUGAAAGCAGGGGACCGCAAGGCCUUGCGCGGAGGGAGCGGCCGAUGGCAGAUUAGGUAGUUGGUGGGAUAAAAGCUUACCAAGCCGACGAUCUGUAGCUGGUCUGAGAGGAUGAUCAGCCACACUGGGACUGAGACACGGCCCAGACUCCUACGGGAGGCAGCAGUGGGGAAUUUUGGACAAUGGGCGCAAGCCUGAUCCAGCCAUGCCGCGUGCAGGAUGAAGGCCUUCGGGUUGUAAACUGCUUUUGUACGGAACGAAAAGCCUUCUUUUAAUACAGGAGGGUCAUGACGGUACCGUAAGAAUAAGCACCGGCUAACUACGUG